GACUUGCCUCUCCAUGCUUAGACCUAGCAGAGAAAUCCUGAAGAUAUCCUGCUGAUUGAGUUUCACCCUUGUUGACCAGGCUGGAGUGGAAUGGAUGAUCUCGGCUCACUGCAACCUCUGCCUCCCGGGUUCAGGCAACUCUCCGGCCUCAACCUCCUGAGUAGCUGGGAUUACAGAUAAGAAUUAUUGCACCAUUUUUCAGAUGAAGAAACUGGAAAUUCAGAGGUGUUAGCUUGUCCAAGCUUUUACCAAAAGUUUUUUGAAACUUGAAAACUGAGCUACUUGCAAUACUCUGGGGGCCAAGUGCAAGAGGAAAAAUUUUAUGUGAAUUUGUUCCAUAAUGAUAUAUGCCCAGCAUGGGGUGGAAUGCGAAGAAGGAAAAAGGUUGAAGACAUUGAACAACUUUAUUGAGCCUCCUGUGUGGUGUCUUUACAGUAGGACAUUAUUAUUUCCCUUGGAGUGGAUCCCCAGCGCAGCAGAUUCCAUCUUAGUCAAAUGUCAGUGUAAAAACACAAUUGCUUGAUUCAAAGUACAAGCUUUCCUAGGAUGAUUUGCCAGCUUGGGUUAUUUUCUUUUCCGUUUGCUUCCAUUUAUAACAACAACCGACAGUUACUUGCACCUAUAUAAGACUUAUGACAAUUUUUCCUCUUAAUUAAUUGCAUGGUUUUAUUUGCUUAUCUUUUACUUGCAAAAUCUGCAAUAAAAUUCCA
RNAcentral lists this long non-coding RNA (710 nucleotides) under Homo sapiens (human). RNAcentral's name for it is "HSALNT0119433". The record is from RNAcentral. Lineage: Eukaryota; Metazoa; Chordata; Mammalia; Primates; Hominidae.